GCGGAAGUGGCGAAAUUGGUAGACGCACCACAUUUAGGUUCUGGCGCCGAUAGGUGUGAGAGUUCGAGUCUCUCCUUCCGCACCA
RNAcentral lists this transfer RNA (85 nucleotides) under Vibrio vulnificus CMCP6. RNAcentral describes it as "tRNA-Leu (TAG) (tRNA-Leu-TAG-3-1)". It matches the Rfam family "tRNA". From Rfam's summary of the family: Transfer RNA (tRNA) molecules are approximately 80 nucleotides in length. Their secondary structure includes four short double-helical elements and three loops (D, anti-codon, and T loops). The record is from RNAcentral. Lineage: Bacteria; Pseudomonadati; Pseudomonadota; Gammaproteobacteria; Vibrionales; Vibrionaceae.